UCAGGAUGAACGCUAGCUACAGGCUUAACACAUGCAAGUCGAGGGGCAGCAUGGGAGUUGCUGCAACUCUGAUGGCGACCGGCGCACGGGUGAGUAACGCGUAUCCAACCUUCCCCUUAGUAGGGCAUAGCCCGUAGAAAUGCGGAUUAAUACCCUAUGUUCUUCGAAGCGGUCAUCCAAUUUGAAGCAAAGAUUCAUCGCUAAGGGAUGGGGAUGCGUCCGAUUAGGUUGUUGGCGGGGUAACGGCCCACCAAGCCAUCGAUCGGUAGGGGUUCUGAGAGGAAGGUCCCCCACAUUGGAACUGAGACACGGUCCAAACUCCUACGGGAGGCAGCAGUGAGGAAUAUUGGUCAAUGGGCGAGAGCCUGAACCAGCCAAGUAAGCGUGCAGGAUGACGGCCCUAUGGGUUGUAAACUGCUUUUAUCAGGGGAUAAAGUGACCCACGUGUGGGUUUUUGUAGGUACCUGAUGAAUAAGGACCGGCUAAUUCCGUGCCAGCCGCGGC
This 504-nucleotide ribosomal RNA is filed under the name uncultured bacterium. RNAcentral's name for it is "bacterial SSU rRNA". It matches the Rfam family "Bacterial small subunit ribosomal RNA", at positions 24 to 518 of the family's 1533-position model. The record is from RNAcentral.